This is an RNA transcript of Manis javanica (Malayan pangolin), 4521 nucleotides long. It is a transcript of the gene named progestin and adipoQ receptor family member 3, with no coding region annotated. The record is from RefSeq and is a predicted model, not a curated record. Lineage: Eukaryota; Metazoa; Chordata; Mammalia; Pholidota; Manidae.
CGAGGGCCGUGGCCGCUCUCUGAGCGGAGCCGGGCCUGGGCAGCGGCGGGGCCGUAGGACCUCGCGCAGCGUCCGCGGGCCGCAGGGCUGGGGCUGCGGAGGCGAAGCCCCCUCCCCGGGGAGGCGGGGCCUGGGCGAGCUCCCCGCGGGGGAGAGGCGGCCGCCGGGAAGGAUGCAUCAGAAGCUGCUGAAGAGCGCACAUUACAUUGAGCUGGGCAGCUACCAGUACUGGCCAGUCCUGGUGCCCCGCGGCAUCCGCCUCUACACCUACGAGCAGAUCCCCGUGUCCCUCAAGGACAACCCGUACAUCACUGACGGCUACCGGGCCUACCUGCCCUCCAGGCUGUGUAUCAAAAGUUUGUUUAUUUUAUCUAAUGAGACGGUAAACAUCUGGAGUCAUUUGCUUGGUUUCUUUCUCUUCUUCACACUGGGAAUAUAUGACAUGACAUCUGUGUUACCUUCAGCAAGUGCGUCCAGAGAAGAUUUUGUAAUUUGUUCUAUUUGUCUUUUCUGCUUCCAGGUCUGUAUGCUUUGCUCUGUGGGCUAUCAUCUCUUUUCUUGCCAUCGGUCAGAAAAAACCUGUCGAAGAUGGAUGGCAUUAGAUUAUGCAGGAAUUUCUAUUGGAAUACUGGGAUGCUAUGUCUCUGGAGUAUUUUAUGCAUUUUAUUGUAAUAAUUAUUGGCGUCAGGUGUACUUGAUCACAGUGCUUGCUAUGAUCCUGGCGGUGUUCUUUGCCCAGAUUCAUCCCAAUUACCUGACACAGCAGUGGCAGAGGCUCCGUUCUAUCAUCUUCUGUUCUGUUUCGGGAUAUGGAGUAAUCCCUACUCUUCACUGGGUUUGGCUCAAUGGAGGAAUUGGUGCUCCUAUUGUACAGGACUUUGCACCCCGUGUAAUUGUGAUGUAUGUGAUUGCUCUUCUUGCUUUCCUGUUCUACAUUUCCAAAGUUCCAGAACGGUACUUUCCAGGACAACUAAACUACCUUGGAUCAAGCCACCAGAUAUGGCAUAUCCUUGCAGUGGUGAUGUUAUAUUGGUGGCAUCAGUCAACAGUGUAUGUCAUGCAAUACAGACAUAACAAACCUUGUCCUGACUAUGUUUCACAUUUAUGAAUUCAGUUGACUAGAACAAGAACUUGAAACCUCUUCUUUUAGAGAAGCAUUGAGGAGAGGAAGAGGACUUGCAUUGUCAUUUCCCAUCAGAUAACAGCUUCAAAAUCGUAUUUAGAACCAGGAAUGAAGACUCAGGGAAUGUCUGUCACAUCUUAUGGCAUCCUACCUGGACACAGUAUCCGAUUCGAAGAUUGUGAUUGACUGACUGGCAUACGCUGUAGAACUCUCCAUUUGGCAGGAGUUAAUGCCAAGAGUCUGUCAGAAGUAUCUACUGUUUAGAAGGAAAUGGAGCAGCACCAAAUGGGUCUAAUUCAACUGACUGGGACUGUUGGGACUGAUGUGAAGUGACACUUUGCACCACAAGUUCUGUAAAGGGCACGGCACCAAAAUCGUCCAUCUUUAACACCUCUGCGCUAUGGAAUGCUCCAUGCCGUGAAUUCGGUUUUGGCCGCCCAGGCAGCACAGUAUUAUGAUCGGCACAGAUGUCGCUCAGACCCUGAUGUGAAGAGUGCCAUGGCACGUCUGGUGGCUGGAAGGGCUUGGCACCAAAGGGGUCCAACAGACUCUCCUCAGGCUGCAGGACAUUCCCUCUGUCUUUCCCAUCAGUCAGUGCAACACUAAUGUUCUCCUUGGAGUCUGAGAUGGUUAAAAAUUCAUUGCUGCUUUGAGAGUCUCGGCGGCCCACCUUUUUGUGCCUGCGCGCCCUCUCUGGAGUGCGGUAGGUGGGCUUCACAGUCUUCUUCGUGCUGGCUGGCGUGCCAUGAUGCCGCUUCCCGUUACUUUUGGACACAUCCUGCUUUGUGCGCCUUUGGCGAGAGGACAGUUUCUGUAAACUACGCUGUUUGACUUUUUGUUGCUGACUCCCAGCUAUUUCCUCAAAGGGCACAAGCCCAAAAAGGUCCUCACUGCUCUCACUUUUAAUUGUUGAGGUGGGAAAGGGCUGAAAUGGAGUGGAGCCAAAUAUAUCUACACUUUUGGGACAAGCAGGGAGAGCAUGUGCUUCAGGCCCCACUGCAUGGCAGUCUUGUACAUUCACCUUCUUGCUAAAGGGUGCCUUGGUGAAUACAUCAAAUUCCUCUUGCUCUAGUCCCACAGAAGACAGCUUGGUCCGUUGAGAGAAGUUCUUUUCAUUCUCUCCUUGUUGGGGCUGUUGAGCACGCACUGCAAAGAAGGGGACAGCACCAAACACAUCGAACUCCUGUGUAGGGGUCUCCACUCCAGCAUCAGAGGGUGAUCGGGUUGGGGUGAGGAGUGUUCUGUUAGGAUCCUGGAUUGGCCCACUGCCAGAUCCGCCUCUGCAGACAGGGCUCCCGUCUCUGUACUUUCCUUUGGCCUGCUCAUAAUCAGAAUCAGAGCUGUGUUUUUCUUCUUCUUCCUCAUCUUCAGAAUCCAUGAGGAGAGGCCUGUGACCCAGAUUUUCUGGUUCAGUAUCAUCAUCAUUAAAAUCUCCUUGCUCUCCGUGAAGAACUUCUUCAUCAUCUUGCUCUUCCUCUUCACUGCUCUUAGGAGAUGGGGGAUCUGAUUCAAAAUCACUUUCAGAUUCAUCAUUCCCCUUUUGCAAUUGACCUUGUACUGAUGAAUUCUCUGAGGUUUUCUUUCCAGUCCGGUGGUCUUUAGAUACUGGACUUGCUUUUCUAUUCUUGAUAGAGUUUGCAGUGGUAUUUUCUUGAUUCAUGGAUGAAUGUUCAAUUUUCUUUUCAGGAGAACCUGCAUGUUCAAAGAAAAAUUAUUAUAGCAUGCCAAUGCAUUUCAAAAUCCAUUUGUACUAAAUAACAUGUACUAACACAAAGCAUUACAAAUCCCUCAUGCCAGUUCCCUUAGAGAAAGAAGUAAUGUCACUUCCCUGUCAUUAGGUUUAGGAAUGCCCUUGUCCUCAACUAGAUGGUUAGGCCCUUCAGUGCAGACAGACUUGACUCUGUAGCCCUACACACUACUUACUCAUUGUAAGUCCUCACCAACAGCCACGUUUCAUGUAUAGCACCCAGAAGAGGACUCUGAAUAUAGUACACAAGAAAAUUUUCUUCUGCCACUCUCAAAAUAAUAUUUGUGUGGCAUAAAACUCCUGCUAAGAUCCCGUAUUUACCAAAAAACCUGCUUAUAUUUCAAUUCUCUUAUAAAGUUUCCCCACAGAGAUCAACAAGUACGAAGAGCUUGUCUGCUUAGUUAAUAUGUUUCAUGGUAAUUUUGAACUGGCAUUCUGGUGCAUUCCCUAAGACUUAAUCAAAGCUGAGGGCCAAGUACUAAACUGAGACUGUCCCAAGGACAUCUGCUUUCUCUAGACAACAGUCUUCAACUAUCAUAUCUGUACUACUAGACAUUACAUUAAAAGCAUGCUACCUUUAAAAAAUAUCAAUACAUUCACUGUAGGUUAGGUAAUAAAAUUAUAUAAAAUAUAGUGCUUUAAAAUUUCUCUAUAUGGCAUAUAAUAAAAAUAAUAUUUUUGUUUACAUGAAAAUAUACUUUCCUCCCAAUUCACUGGUGUCUUUAACUGAUUUUCCGGAGGUGGGAUUAAUUUGAAUUGACCCAACCACAUAUCUAUCCAUCCCUUCCCGUCCUUUGCAAAACAAUUAACUAGGAUUGGAAGUACAGUUUAUAAUCAUGAAAACUAAUUAACUUAAUGGAAGGACAAAUUGGACAAAUUACUUUCCCAUUAUUAAAAUAGUGGUCCCUAUGGCAUAUGACAUCUCUCAGUUCCUUCCUUCUCUUUCAAAGUCAGCACUAUGGUCCUCCUACCUCUCUGACUAUUCCUUCUUGGCCAUAUUCGUAGAGAUUUCUUUCACUAACAUCUCCUUAAACAUUUAUGUUCCCCAGGCUUCUAUCCUUGGCUGUUUCUCCUUCUGCAUGUCCUCCCCAGGUCUUAAGUACUUGUAUGUUUAAUCCCACAUACACCAUAACGACUGGAUCUCUAAUACUUAACCAAGAAUACUUAUCUCUUUUAUUCCUCUAGUACUUAUCAUGACAUGUAUCCUACUAUUACUUCAAACUCAGUAAUUUCAAGAGAGAUCACCUGUCUUCUUAAACUGUGCUCUCCAGCUCCCUCUAAAUUAGUAAACAAAAAUCUGGAAAUCAUCUUUCCUUUUCCCACCAAAUAGUGUUUUUAAAAUCUCUGGAAUCUGUUUUCUCUUCUCCUUUCCUCUCUCUCAUCUAAAAACCCUGUAGCUUCUGAAGUUAUCUGCCUCCAGUCCCAAAUCCUUCAAACUGCUCCACUAAUCAUGUGGCUAUUGCUUAAAAUCUAUUAGUGGCUCUCUAGAGACCCAACACUUAGCCCAGCACCGGGGAUCUCGAUCUGGGUGCUGUCGUACACAACCUAAUUUAGACUCAAGACGGUGCUGUCUUACUACAGCAACACCCGAACUCUCCCUACUCAAAUUCAGGAACUGGAUAGAUUUGGAUAAAGUAUUUUAUUUGAGCUA